RNAcentral lists this unclassified non-coding RNA (862 nucleotides) under Hevea brasiliensis (rubber tree). The record is from RNAcentral. Lineage: Eukaryota; Viridiplantae; Streptophyta; Magnoliopsida; Malpighiales; Euphorbiaceae.
AUAAAGCACCAUACCUACAUGCUCACAGUUCACAGAUUUGCUUUGCUUUCACAUCUUUCAUCUAUUAAUAAUCUAUCAUCUUUAUAUUUUUCUAGUCUUCUUAUCAUCUCAUUCAUCAAUUCAAACAUGGUGCACAAGGGUUUUCUUUCUGUCAGACUUCUGCUGCUCUUUCUGGGUUUCUCUUUUGUGCUCUCUUCUCUUGCUGUUCCUUCAACUAGAAGCCUCAAAUCAACUGAAGAAAACCCAUCAUCAGUUCAAGAUUUUCUCACUCAGGAUGCAAUGGACUUGAAUCUUGUAGAGGAACAAGUUCUUGAUUUGGGAGAAGGGUAUAUUAAUGGAAGGAUGGAUUUGGAAAGCACAGAUUAUCCAGGAACUGGAGCAAACAAUCACCAUGAUCCAAAAACUCCAGGAAGAGCUUAAAGAAUUUAUCCAUGUGCAGAUCAAGACUUCAAAACAAGAAGAAAGAGGAAGAAGAAGCUGUGGAUUUGGGUUUGCUUUUUAUGCAUUAUAUUAAUUAAUUAUGAAGAGGAUGCUUGUUUGUCUGUCUAUUUAUGGAAUGUAUUAAUUAAUUAAUUAUUCAAUAAUCUAACUUUUAAUUCAGAUUAGAAGAAGAGGAAGGGGAAGGGGAGGUUCCAUUUUGUACAAGGAAUGCAGGAAUUAAUGCUAUGGAUCUAAAAUGUGGUGGGUUUUAAUUAUUAACUGGGGAUGCAAAUUGUCAUUUGUAUUUUGUAUCUAGAGAAGUAUGAUGUAAAUGAUGAUGAUGAUGACGAUGAUGUUGUCUGUUUUUGUUAUGAAAGUGGGAAUUUGUGGCCUAAAAACCUAUUGGAUUUCAACUCAAAACAUUAAAAAUUAAAAGCAAGAU